AUUUGAGAAUUUCAAUAAAUAUAAGUCUUCUGUUGAAAGACAAAGUGGUUGUAGAUUUAAGACUCUUCGAACAGAUAGAGGUGGUGAAUUUAUAUCAAAUGAAUUCAACACCUAUUGCGAGGAAAAUGGUUUUCAAAGAGAGCUCACAACACCGUAUACUCUAGAGCAGAAUGGUGUUGUCGAACGUAAGAAUCGGAUAGUCGUUGAAAUGGAUAGAAUCAUGAUGCAAGCUAGAGGUGUAUCAAAAUAUUUAUGGACUGAAGCUGUCUACAUGCUAAACAUUUCACCCACCAAGGUUGUUCUUAAUCAAGCACCAUAUGAAGCAUGGAGAGGUAACAAGCCCAAGGGAACGCAUCCAGCUCUUCUCCAACAAGUUGCAGUUGUGCUACUCAUUAAUCAAAAACCUCUGCUCCAGCACGUGAUCACAGCUUGAUCCCCCGAGGAAGUGGCAGCAGUUCUUCUGCAAUUGAUUCUUUCAGUGAGACUCCACCAGCGAAAUUCUGAUCGUUAAGGGAGAUUUAUGAAAAUUGUUCUUCUGCUUUGUCUGUUACUGAACCCUAAUUUUUCAAAGAAGUUGUAGACAGUAAAGCAUGGAAAAAUGCAAUGAUAUAAGAGAUGCAAGAAAUUGAGAAGAAUCAAACAUGGAAACUGGUUAAUCUACCGGAAGGAAAGAAACCCAUUGGACUCAAAUGGGUGUUCAAAAUCAAGUGUCAUGCAGAUGGGAGCAUACAACGAUACAAAUUAAGGAUUGUAGCUAAAGAUAUGCACAACAUGAAGGUAUUGAUUACAAUUAAACGUUUUCACCUGUCGCUCGCUUUGAAACGUUGAGAAUACUGUUAUCUUUGGCUGCUAAACUGAGUUGUCCCAUUUAUCAAUUUGAUGUUAAAUCUGCAUUCUUAAAUGGGGAUUUGGAAGAGGAUGUUUAUGCUUCCCAAUCUAAGGGUUUUGGUGUUAGUGGCAAUAAGAGCAAAGUAUACAAGCUCACGAAGUCUCUUUAUGAGAUAAAACAAGGGCCACAGGCAUGGUACAACGGGGGUCAUCUCAACAAGUUUAGGGGCCUAAAUGAAUUUCAGAAAAAGACCCUAUUGUUUUUAGUUGACAAACAUCUAAUGAAUAAUUAUAACAUACUCAAUGUAAUCGUACAAAUGAUGUCUGGAGAGACAAGAUAUAUGUAGAUAUUAUGAAGUAAGAAUGCAAAUAAUAUGAAAUUUCAAUGAAAAUUAUGUAAUAUAAAGUUGGAAUAAUAAAACACGACUCAAAAUAUUUAAAAAUACGAUGAUAUUAAAAUAGUAUUGCGAUGAAUUUGAUAAGUAUAUAAAUAAUAUUUUUAAAAAAUGUUGAUUAGUUUUAGUGUUUGAAAUUUUAAUAAAACAUCAAAAUAAAUUUGAUCUUUUUAUAAAUACACAACAAUAUAUUUUACAUAAUGUAGAAUGUUCGAACAUUUGAGAGAUUUCACAAUAUUCAAUAGUGAGAGAAUAAAAAAUAGUGAAAGGAUAAUAAAGAGAAGUAAAUAUAAGAAAAAAAUACUUUUAGUUCAUUAUGAUCGUUAGAAUAUAAAUGAGCUAGACAAUAAAAUAGAUAGUCACAUGUGAAACUAGAAAAGAUACUGCAAUUAACUACCGAUAUAAUAAUGUAGAAAAUAUUCUACAAUCAACUAAACAAUAUUCAAUUUCUCAAUUAUAACUUCUAUACAAAUUUUUUUCUUCAAAUUUAUCAAUACAUUAUUUUUUGUUGACAAUAUAUAUACAUAUUUUGGAGAAAAUGGAGGCCCCAAAAAAAUUGGAGCCCCAAGCGAUUGCUUUAGUGGCCUUAUGAUUGAAACGGACCUGGGUACAACAAAAUUGACUCAUACUUUCUAAGGAAUGGAUUCAAAAGGAGCGAGAAUGAGCCUACAUUGUAUGUAAAGAAACAAGGUACAAGUGAUUUUUUGGUAGUUUGUCUCUAUGUGGAUGACAUGAUCUAUAUGGGGUCAUGUGAAACUUUUGUUGCUGAAUUUAAAUCUGGCAUGAUGAAGGAGUUUGAAAUGUCAGAUUUAGGUAUUUUGCAAUACUUUGUUGGUCUUCAAGUGAAAUAGGUAGAAGAUGGUAUUUUUGUUUCUCAAACGAAGUAUGCAAAAGACCUCCUCUUCAAGUUCGGUAUGCAUCAUUGUAAAGCGGCUGCCACACCCAAGAAUGCAACCGAAAAGUUUCAGCUUGAAGAUAGCACAGAUCGUGCCGAUCCUAGUCACUACAGAAGCUUAAUUGGAGGUUUGAAUUACCUAACACAUACU
Molecule: long non-coding RNA, 2269 nt
Organism: Solanum pennellii
Lineage: Eukaryota; Viridiplantae; Streptophyta; Magnoliopsida; Solanales; Solanaceae
Exons: 2
Source: RefSeq, a predicted model, not a curated record